RNAcentral lists this ribosomal RNA (526 nucleotides) under uncultured bacterium. RNAcentral describes it as "bacterial SSU rRNA". It matches the Rfam family "Bacterial small subunit ribosomal RNA", at positions 116 to 656 of the family's 1533-position model. The record is from RNAcentral.
CGUGGGUGAUCUGCCCUGCACUUCGGGAUAAGCUUGGAAACUGGGUCUAAUACCGGAUAGGACCACGGUCUGCAUGGAUUGUGGUGGAAAGCUUUUGCGGUGUGGGAUGGGCCCGCGGCCUAUCAGCUUGUUGGUGGGGGUGAUGGCCUACCAAGGCGACGACGGGUAGCCGGCCUGAGAGGGUGUCCGGCCACACUGGGACUGAGAUACGGCCCAGACUCCUACGGGAGGCAGCAGUGGGGAAUAUUGCACAAUGGGCGCAAGCCUGAUGCAGCGACGCCGCGUGGGGGAUGACGGCCUUCGGGUUGUAAACCUCUUUCAGCAGGGACGAAGGGUGACUGACGGUACCUGUAGAAGAAGCACCGGCCAACUACGUGCCAGCAGCCGCGGUAAUACGUAGGGUGCGAGCGUUGUCCGGAAUUACUGGGCGUAAAGAGCUCGUAGGUGGUUUGUCGCGUUGUUCGUGAAAACUCACAGCUUAACUGUGGGCGUGCGGGCGAUACGGGCAGACUGGAGUACUGCAGGG